RNAcentral lists this ribosomal RNA (497 nucleotides) under uncultured bacterium. RNAcentral's name for it is "partial 16S ribosomal RNA". It matches the Rfam family "Bacterial small subunit ribosomal RNA", at positions 29 to 507 of the family's 1533-position model. The record is from RNAcentral.
UAUGAACGCUGGCGGCGUGCCUAAUACAUGCAAGUCGAGCGAACAGACGAGGAGCUUGCUCCUCUGACGUUAGCGGCGGACGGGUGAGUAACACGUGGAUAACCUACCUAUAAGACUGGGAUAACUUCGGGAAACCGGAGCUAAUACCGGAUAAUAUAUUGAACCGCAUGGUUCAAUAGUGAAAGACGGUUUUGCUGUCACUUAUAGAUGGAUCCGCGCCGCAUUAGCUAGUUGGUAAGGUAACGGCUUACCAAGGCAACGAUGCGUAGCCGACCUGAGAGGGUGAUCGGCCACACUGGAACUGAGACACGGUCCAGACUCCUACGGGAGGCAGCAGUAGGGAAUCUUCCGCAAUGGGCGAAAGCCUGACGGAGCAACGCCGCGUGAAUGAUGAAGGUCUUCGGAUCGUAAAACUCUGUUAUUAGGGAAGAACAAAUGUGUAAGUAACUAUGCACGUCUUGACGGUACCUAAUCAGAAAGCCACGGCUAACUACGUG